This 750-nucleotide ribosomal RNA is filed under the name Phloeodes diabolicus. Its description in RNAcentral is "partial 16S ribosomal RNA". The stretch from base 1 to 562 matches the Rfam family "Bacterial large subunit ribosomal RNA", at positions 1844 to 2925 of the family's 2925-position model. Lineage: Eukaryota; Metazoa; Arthropoda; Insecta; Coleoptera; Zopheridae. The record is from RNAcentral.
UUUGAGGUCUGACCUGCCCAAUGAAAUUUAAAUGGCCGCAGUAUUUUGACUGUGCAAAGGUAGCAUAAUCAUUAGUUUUUUAAUUGAAAGCUGGAAUGAAUGGUUUGAUGAAAAAAGAGCUGUCUCAGGACAAAUGGUUUAGAAUUUUAUUUUUAAGUUAAAAAGCUUAGAUUUUUUAAAAAGACGAGAAGACCCUAUAGAGUUUGAUAUUUUAAUUUUAAAAUCAAUGGUGGGGGCUUUUAUGGUUUUUUAAUUAUAGUGUUUCGUUGGGGUGACGAAAAAAUUUGGUUAACUUUUUUUAGUACAAACAUAAAUUAAUGAAUCUAUGAUCCUAUAUUUUGGAUUUUUAGAAAAAAUUACCUUAGGGAUAACAGCGUAAUUUUUCUUGAGAGUUCUUAUCGAAAGAAGAGAUUGCGACCUCGAUGUUGGAUUAAAGUUAAUUUUUGGUGCAGAAGCUGAAAUAUUAGGUCUGUUCGACCUUUGAAACUUUACAUGAUCUGAGUUUAGACCGGCGUGAGCCAGGUUGGUUUCUAUCUUUUAGGAAUAAGAAUGCCUUAGUACGAAAGGACCAGGUAUUUAAAUAAUAUUUUAUUUUUGAAUUUUAUUGUUAUCUUGGCAGAUUAGUGCGGUAAAUUUAGAAUUUAAAUAUGUAAGGGCUUACAGAUAACAUUGAUUAUUAAGGAUCUUGUUUUGGCUUGAGUCUCCAUGCUGUUAUUAGUUGUUUUUGUUUUAGUUGGGGUGGCCUUUUUG